UUUUAUUUGAGAGUUUGAUCCUGGCUCAGGAUGAACGCUGGCGGCGUGCCUAACACAUGCAAGUUGAGCGAUUUACUUCGGUAAAGAGCGGCGGACGGGUGAGUAACGCGUGGGUAACCUACCCUGUACACACGGAUAACAUACCGAAAGGUAUGCUAAUACGGGAUAAUAUAUUUGAGAGGCAUCUCUUGAAUAUCAAAGGUGAGCCAGUACAGGAUGGACCCGCGUCUGAUUAGCUAGUUGGUAAGGUAACGGCUUACCAAGGCGACGAUCAGUAGCCGACCUGAGAGGGGGAUCGGCCACAUUGGAACUGAGACACGGUCCAAACUCCUACGGGAGGCAGCAGUGGGGAAUAUUGCACAAUGGGCGAAAGCCUGAUGCAGCAACGCCGCGUGAGUGAUGAAGGCCUUCGGGUCGUAAAACUCUGUCCUCAAGGAAGAUAAUGACGGUACUUGAGGAGGAAGCCCCGGCUAACUACGUGCCAGCAGCCGCGGUAAUACGUAGGGGGCUAGCGUUAUCCG
This 521-nucleotide ribosomal RNA is filed under the name Clostridioides difficile. Its description in RNAcentral is "bacterial SSU rRNA". It matches the Rfam family "Bacterial small subunit ribosomal RNA", at positions 1 to 547 of the family's 1533-position model. The record is from RNAcentral. Lineage: Bacteria; Bacillati; Bacillota; Clostridia; Peptostreptococcales; Peptostreptococcaceae.